GAGAUAAAUCAGAUCAUCUCUUGUGCUCACUUCGGCAGCACAUAUACUAAAUUAGCAUGGCCCCUGUGCAAGGAUGACACUCUAAUUUGUGAAGCAUUCCAUAUUUUU
This is a non-coding RNA of Loxodonta africana (African savanna elephant), 108 nucleotides long. NCBI's taxonomy places the organism in Eukaryota, Metazoa, Chordata, Mammalia, Proboscidea, Elephantidae. The record is from Rfam.